Molecule: ribosomal RNA, 253 nt
Filed under: uncultured bacterium
Lineage: Bacteria
Description: partial 16S ribosomal RNA
Rfam family: Bacterial small subunit ribosomal RNA
Source: RNAcentral
UACGGGGGGAGCAAGCGUUGUUCGGAUUUACUGGGCGUAAAGGGCGCGUAGGCGGCGUGGCAAGUCACUUGUGAAAUCUCCGGGCUUAACUCGGAACGGUCAAGUGAUACUGCUGUGCUAGAGUGCGGAAGGGGCAACUGGAAUUCUUGGUGUAGCGGUGAAAUGCGUAGAUAUCAAGAGGAACCCCUGCGGCGAAGGCGGGUUGCUGGGCCGACACUGACGCUGAGGCGCGAAAGCUAGGGGAGCGAACGGG